This 264-nucleotide ribosomal RNA is filed under the name uncultured bacterium. RNAcentral's name for it is "partial 16S ribosomal RNA". It matches the Rfam family "Bacterial small subunit ribosomal RNA", at positions 91 to 353 of the family's 1533-position model. The record is from RNAcentral.
GUUAGUGGCGGACGGGUGAGUAACGCGUGGGUAACCUGCCUUGUACUGGGGGACAACAGUUGGAAACGACUGCUAAUACCGCAUAAGCGCACAGCUUCGCAUGAAGCAGUGUGAAAAACUCCGGUGGUACAAGAUGGACCCGCGUCUGAUUAGCUAGUUGGUGGGGUAACGGCCUACCAAGGCGACGAUCAGUAGCCGGCCUGAGAGGGUGAACGGCCACAUUGGGACUGAGACACGGCCCAAACUCCUACGGGAGGCAGCAUG